RNAcentral lists this ribosomal RNA (389 nucleotides) under uncultured bacterium. RNAcentral describes it as "bacterial SSU rRNA". It matches the Rfam family "Bacterial small subunit ribosomal RNA", at positions 9 to 384 of the family's 1533-position model. The record is from RNAcentral.
GAGUUUGAUCGUGGCUCAGAACGAACGCUGGCGGCGUGGAUAAGACAUGCAAGUCGAACGGAUUUUUCUCUGUAGCAAUACAGGGGAAGGUCAGUGGCGCAAGGGUGCGUAACACGUGGGCAACCUGCCCUGAAGUUGGGGAUAGCCCGCCGAAAGGCGGAUUAAUACCGAAUGUGGCUAGUGGUGGAUUCACCGCGACGCUAAAGGUGGCGCAAGCUGCCGCUUCUGGAUGGGCCCGCGGCCUAUCAGCUAGUUGGUUGGGGUAACGGCCACCAAGGCGAUGACGGGUAGCUGGUCUGAGAGGACGACCAGCCACACUGGAACUGAGACACGGUCCAGACACCUACGGGUGGCAGCAGUCGAGAAUUUUUCGCAAUGGGGGAAACCCU